GACGAACGCUGGCGGCGUGCUUAACACAUGCAAGUCGAACGGUGAAGCUCCAGCUUGCUGGAGUGGAUCAGUGGCGAACGGGUGAGUAACACGUGAGCAACCUGCCCCUGACUCUGGAAUAAGCGCUGGAAACGGCGUCUAAUACUGGAUACGAGAAGGGUCCGCAUGGGCACUUUCUGGAAAGUUUUUCGGUUGGGGAUGCGCUCGCGGCCUAUCAGCUUGUUGGUGAGGUAAUGGCUCACCAAGGCGACGACAGGUAGCCGGCCUGAGAGGGCGACCGGCCACAAUGGGACUGAGACACGGCCCAGACUCCUACGGGAGGCAGCAGUGGGGAAUAUUGCACAAUGGGCGAAAGCCUGAUGCAGCGACGCCGCGUGAGGGAUGACGGCCUUCGGGUUGUAAACCUCUUUCAGCAGGGAAGAAGCGAAAGUGACGGUACCUGCAGAAGAAGCACCGGCUAACUACGUG
Molecule: ribosomal RNA, 468 nt
Filed under: uncultured bacterium
Lineage: Bacteria
Description: partial 16S ribosomal RNA
Rfam family: Bacterial small subunit ribosomal RNA
Source: RNAcentral